Molecule: ribosomal RNA, 1450 nt
Filed under: uncultured organism
Description: SSU rRNA
Rfam family: Bacterial small subunit ribosomal RNA
Source: RNAcentral
GCUACAGGCUUAACACAUGCAAGUCGAGGGGCAGCAUGGUCUUAGCUUGCUAAGGCCGAUGGCGACCGGCGCACGGGUGAGUAACGCGUAUCCAACCUGCCUUACACUCUUGGACAGCCUUCUGAAAGGGAGAUUAAUACAAGAUGUUAUCAUGAGUAAGCAUUUUCGCAUGAUUAAAGGUUUACCGGUGUAAGAUGGGGAUGCGUUCCAUUAGAUAGUAGGCGGGGUAACGGCCCACCUAGUCUUCGAUGGAUAGGGGUUCUGAGAGGAAGGUCCCCCACAUUGGAACUGAGACACGGUCCAAACUCCUACGGGAGGCAGCAGUGAGGAAUAUUGGUCAAUGGACGAGAGUCUGAACCAGCCAAGUAGCGUGAAGGAUGAAGGUUCUAUGGAUUGUAAACUUCUUUCAUACGGGAAUAAACGGAUCCACGUGUGGAUUUUUGCAUGUACCGUAUGAAUAAGGAUCGGCUAACUCCGUGCCAGCAGCCGCGGUAAUACGGAGGAUCCGAGCGUUAUCCGGAUUUAUUGGGUUUAAAGGGAGCGUAGAUGGGUUGUUAAGUCAGUUGUGAAAGUUUGCGGCUCAACCGUAAAAUUGCAAUUGAUACUGGCAGUCUUGAGUACAGUUGAGGUAGGCGGAAUUCGUGGUGUAGCGGUGAAAUGCUUAGAUAUCACGAAGAACUCCGAUUGCGAAGGCAGCUUACUAACCUGUAACUGACAUUGAUGCUCGAAAGUGUGGGUAUCAAACAGGAUUAGAUACCCUGGUAGUCCACACGGUAAACGAUGAAUACUCGCUGUAGGCGAUAUACAGUCUGCGGCCAAGCGAAAGCAUUAAGUAUUCCACCUGGGGAGUACGCCGGCAACGGUGAAACUCAAAGGAAUUGACGGGGGCCCGCACAAGCGGAGGAACAUGUGGUUUAAUUCGAUGAUACGCGAGGAACCUUACCCGGGCUUAAAUUGCAACCGAAUAUGGCGGAAACGCUAUAGCUAGCAAUAGCGGUUGUGAAGGUGCUGCAUGGUUGUCGUCAGCUCGUGCCGUGAGGUGUCGGCUUAAGUGCCAUAACGAGCGCAACCCUUGCCGAUAGUUACUAACAGGUCAUGCUGAGGACUCUGUCGGGACUGCCAUCGUAAGAUGUGAGGAAGGUGGGGAUGACGUCAAAUCAGCACGGCCCUUACGUCCGGGGCUACACACGUGUUACAAUGGGGGGUACAGAGGGCUGCUACCACGCAAGUGGAUGCCAAUCCCAAAAACCUCUCUCAGUUCGGAUUGAAGUCUGCAACCCGACUUCAUGAAGCUGGAUUCGCUAGUAAUCGCGCAUCAGCCACGGCGCGGUGAAUACGUUCCCGGGCCUUGUACACACCGCCCGUCAAGCCAUGGGAGCCGGGGGUACCUGAAGUGCGUAACCGCAAGGAGCGCCCUAGGGUAAAACUGGUGACUGGGGCUAAGUCAUAA